CAUAGAUUCUGAGAAAUAUAUUCUGUAUUUGGGCACUUAGAAUAUGUGGAGAUAGUAGUGCAACCGGCUAUUA
RNAcentral lists this non-coding RNA (73 nucleotides) under Clostridium disporicum. RNAcentral's name for it is "Cyclic di-GMP-II riboswitch". It matches the Rfam family "Cyclic di-GMP-II riboswitch aptamer", at positions 8 to 77 of the family's 84-position model. The record is from RNAcentral. RNAcentral also lists the same sequence under 1 other name. Lineage: Bacteria; Bacillati; Bacillota; Clostridia; Eubacteriales; Clostridiaceae.